RNAcentral lists this ribosomal RNA (477 nucleotides) under uncultured bacterium. RNAcentral's name for it is "partial 16S ribosomal RNA". It matches the Rfam family "Bacterial small subunit ribosomal RNA", at positions 28 to 523 of the family's 1533-position model. The record is from RNAcentral.
GACGAACGCUGGCGGCGUGCUUAACACAUGCAAGUCGAACGGUAAGGCCCUUCGGGGUACACGAGUGGCGAACGGGUGAGUAACACGUGGGUGAUCUGCCCUGCACUUCGGGAUAAGCCUGGGAAACUGGGUCUAAUACCGGAUAUGAAACCUGCGGGCAUCCGCGGGUUUGGAAAGUUUUUCGGUUGAAGAUGAUCUCGCGGCCUAUCAGCUUGUUGGUGGGGUGAUGGCCUACCAAGGCGACGGCGGGUAGCCGGCCUGAGAGGGUGACCGGCCACACUGGGACUGAGAUACGGCCCAGACUCCUACGGGAGGCAGCAGUGGGGAAUAUUGCACAAUGGGCGCAAGCCUGAUGCAGCGACGCCGCGUGAGGGAUGACGGCCUUCGGGUUGUAAACCUCUUUCAGCAUCGACGAAGCGAAAGUGACGGUAGGUGCAGAAGAAGGACCGGCCAACUACGUGCCAGCCGCCGCGGUAA